This 401-nucleotide ribosomal RNA is filed under the name uncultured bacterium. Its description in RNAcentral is "bacterial SSU rRNA". It matches the Rfam family "Bacterial small subunit ribosomal RNA", at positions 355 to 773 of the family's 1533-position model. The record is from RNAcentral.
UGGGGAAUAUUGCACAAUGGGCGAAAGCCUGAUGCAGCAACGCCGCGUGAGUGAUGAAGGCCUUCGGGUUGUAAAGCUCUGUCUUCUGGGACGAUAAUGACGGUACCAGAAGAGGAAGCCACGGCUAACUACGUGCCAGCAGCCGCGGUAAUACGUAGGUGGCAAGCGUUGUCCGGAUUUACUGGGCGUAAAGGAUGCGUAGGCGGAUACUUAAGUCAGAUGUGAAAAUCCCGGGCUUAACUUGGGAACUGCAUUUGAAACUGGGUAUCUAGAGUGCGGGAGAGGAAAGUGGAAUUCCUAGUGUAGCGGUGAAAUGCGUAGAGAUUAGGAAGAACACCAGUGGCGAAGGCGACUUUCUGGACCGUAACUGACGCUGAGGCAUGAAAGCGUGGGGAGCAAAC